Molecule: ribosomal RNA, 424 nt
Filed under: uncultured bacterium
Lineage: Bacteria
Description: bacterial SSU rRNA
Rfam family: Bacterial small subunit ribosomal RNA
Source: RNAcentral
UGGGGAAUAUUGGGCAAUGGGCGAAAGCCUGACCCAGCGACGCCGCGUGGGUGAUGAAGGCCUUCGGGUUGUAAAGCCCUUUCGUGCGGAAAGAACAGCCCUGUAGUUAAUACCUGCAGGGUUUGACGGUACCGCAGGAAGAAGCACCGGCUAACCCCGUGCCAGCAGCCGCGGUAAUACGGAGGGUGCAAGCGUUGUUCGGAUUUAUUGGGGGUAAAGGGCGCGUAGGUGGUUGUGAUAGUCAGAUGUGAAAUCCUUUGGCUUAACUGAAGAGCAGCAUCUGAAACUUCACAAGUCGGGUACAGGAGAGGGAGACGGAAUGCCCGGUGUAGAGGUGAAAUUCGUAGAUAUCGGGAGGAACACCAGUGGCGAAGGCGGUGUCCGGGACUGAUACAGACACUGAGGCGCGAAAGCGUGGGGAGCA